AACCCUAGUCGCCUUCUGCUCACUUAACUGGCGUUAAUGGCCGUCCAAGACCUGAAACUUCCGUGUUCGCCCACUCAUCACCUCUCCUGGCCUUUGGGUUCAAAGAUCGGGAUAUUAUUGCUAAGGUGAUUGGACCAUAGGUCCUUCGAUGGGUUUUCACAGCCAUGUCCGGCCCUCUCUCCGGCAAGCCUUGAAGCCUGAGCCUUUUCCCGACUCCGGCGAGUCCUUUCC
Molecule: long non-coding RNA, 231 nt
Filed under: Nicotiana benthamiana
Lineage: Eukaryota; Viridiplantae; Streptophyta; Magnoliopsida; Solanales; Solanaceae
Description: long non-coding RNA (NBEN_LNC008653)
Source: RNAcentral